AACGAACGCUGGCGGCAUGCCUAACACAUGCAAGUCGAACGGGACCUUCGGGUCUAGUGGCGCACGGGUGCGUAACGCGUGGGAAUCUGCCCUUGGGUUCGGAAUAACAGUUGGAAACGACUGCUAAUACCGGAUGAUGACGUAAGUCCAAAGAUUUAUCGCCCAAGGAUGAGCCCGCGUAGGAUUAGCUAGUUGGUGAGGUAAAGGCUCACCAAGGCGACGAUCCUUAGCUGGUCUGAGAGGAUGAUCAGCCACACUGGGACUGAGACACGGCCCAGACUCCUACGGGAGGCAGCAGUGGGGAAUAUUGGACAAUGGGCGAAAGCCUGAUCCAGCAAUGCCGCGUGAGUGAUGAAGGCCUUAGGGUUGUAAAGCUCUUUUACCCGGGAUGAUAAUGACAGUACCGGGAGAAUAAGCUCCGGCUAACUCCGUG
Molecule: ribosomal RNA, 433 nt
Filed under: uncultured bacterium
Lineage: Bacteria
Description: partial 16S ribosomal RNA
Rfam family: Bacterial small subunit ribosomal RNA
Source: RNAcentral